This 313-nucleotide RNase P RNA is filed under the name uncultured archaeon ER-E. RNAcentral's name for it is "Archaeal RNase P". It matches the Rfam family "Archaeal RNase P". From Rfam's summary of the family: Ribonuclease P (RNase P) is a ubiquitous endoribonuclease, found in archaea, bacteria and eukarya as well as chloroplasts and mitochondria. Its best characterised activity is the generation of mature 5'-ends of tRNAs by cleaving the 5'-leader elements of precursor-tRNAs. The record is from Rfam by way of RNAcentral.
GCAAGCCGAAGGGCAGCUACCGGUUUCUAUAGAUUUAAUGUCUGUAGUUAAACUGAGGAAACUCCACCCAUCAUGCAGAGCCGUGGUGCCGUAGCAUCAGCUGAGAGGCUGGACCCUGGAGCAGAAACGACACGUCUCCUGGUGGAUGAUAAUGAAGCUUCACCCUCAAGGAGCAGACUGACAUCAGGAGGACCGGUGAAACGGCCAUUCCACGGGAUGCAAGGACAAAUGCUGCCUGUGAUUACUGUAGGAGGCAGAGGUAGUCCGCCCAGAUGAAUGCUGCCGAACAGAAGGUGGGUUACUCUCGGCAUGC